Molecule: small nucleolar RNA, 114 nt
Organism: Pseudophryne corroboree (corroboree frog)
Lineage: Eukaryota; Metazoa; Chordata; Amphibia; Anura; Myobatrachidae
Product: small nucleolar RNA SNORD89
Exons: 1
Source: RefSeq, a predicted model, not a curated record
GCUCUGGAAUGAUGACAUAAAAGGCCGAAUUGCAGUAUCUACCUGCGCAGUUUACUCUCUACAGGGAGGUACAAUGACAAAUCCCCUUGAAGCGAAAACAUGACUGACCUUUGC